RNAcentral lists this ribosomal RNA (507 nucleotides) under uncultured bacterium. RNAcentral describes it as "bacterial SSU rRNA". It matches the Rfam family "Bacterial small subunit ribosomal RNA", at positions 8 to 518 of the family's 1533-position model. The record is from RNAcentral.
AGAGUUUGAUUAUGGCUCAGGAUGAACGCUGGCGGCGUGCUUAACACAUGCAAGUCGAACGGAGUUUUAAGACGGUUAGUUACGAGAGUAGUAAAACUUAGUGGCGGACGGGUGAGUAACGCGUGGGUAACCUGCCUCAUACAGGGGGAUAACAGUUAGAAAUGACUGCUAACACCACAUAAUAUAGCGAAACCGCAUGAUUUUUGCUAUCAAAUAUUUAUAGGUAUGAGAUGGGCCCGCGUCUGAUUAGCUAGUUGGUGGGGUAAAAGCCUACCAAGGCGACGAUCAGUAGCCGGCUUGAGAGAGUGACCGGCCACAUUGGGACUGAGACACGGCCCAACUCCUACGGGAGGCAGCAGGUGGGAAUAUUGGACAAUGGGGGAGACCCUGAUCCAGCGAACCGCCGCGUGAGUGAAGAAGUAUUUCGGUAUGUAAAGCUCUAUCAGCAGGGAAGAUAAUGACAGUACCUGACUAAGAAGCCCCGGCUAACUACGUGCCAGCCGCUGC